UGAGGAAUAUUGGUCAAUGGGCGGGAGCCUGAACCAGCCAAGUCGCGUGAAGGAAGAAGGAUCUAUGGUUCGUAAACUUCUUUUGCAGGGGAAUAAAGUGCAGGACGUGUCCUGUUUUGUAUGUACCCUGAGAAUAAGGAUCGGCUAACUCCGUGCCAGCAGCCGCGGUAAUACGGAGGAUCCGAGCGUUAUCCGGAUUUAUUGGGUUUAAAGGGUGCGUAGGUGGUUUGAUAAGUCAGCGGUGAAAGUUUGCAGCUUAACUGUAAAAAUGCCGUUGAAACUGUCGGACUUGAGUGUAAAUGAGGUAGGCGGAAUGCGUGAUGUAGCGGUGAAAUGCAUAGAUAUCACGCAGAACUCCGAUUGCGAAGGCAGCUUACUAAGCUACAACUGACACUGAAGCACGAAAGCGUGGGGAUCAAACA
RNAcentral lists this ribosomal RNA (422 nucleotides) under uncultured bacterium. Its description in RNAcentral is "bacterial SSU rRNA". It matches the Rfam family "Bacterial small subunit ribosomal RNA", at positions 355 to 774 of the family's 1533-position model. The record is from RNAcentral.